RNAcentral lists this transfer RNA (71 nucleotides) under Frieseomelitta varia. RNAcentral describes it as "tRNA-Gly". Lineage: Eukaryota; Metazoa; Arthropoda; Insecta; Hymenoptera; Apidae. The record is from RNAcentral.
AUAUAUAUAGUAUAAAUUUUAUAUUACAUUUAAUUUCCAAUUAAAAAAUUUAUUUAAUUAUAAUAUAUAUA